Molecule: ribosomal RNA, 508 nt
Filed under: uncultured bacterium
Lineage: Bacteria
Description: bacterial SSU rRNA
Rfam family: Bacterial small subunit ribosomal RNA
Source: RNAcentral
UUCGGUCCUAGUGGCGAACGGUCGCGUAACACGUAAGCAACCUGCCCUGAAGUGGGGGACAACAUCCCGAAAGGGGUGCUAAUACCGCAUGUGGUCACGAGUCGGCAUCGACUUGUGUCUAAAGAUUUAUCGCUUCAGGAUGGGCUUGCGGCCUAUCAGGUAGUUGGUGGGGUAAUGGCCUACCAAGCCGACGACGGGUAGCUGGUCUGAGAGGACGAUCAGCCGGAUUGGGACUGAGAUACGGCCCAGACUCCUACGGGGGGCAGCAAUUAGGAAUCUUGCGCAAUGGGGGAAACCCUGACGCAGCGACGUCGCGUGAAGGAUGAAGGCCCUCGGGUCGUAAACUUCUUUUGAGUGGGAAGAAAUUUGACGGUACCACUCGAAUAAGCCCCGGCUAACUACGUGCCAGCAGCCGCGGUAAUACGUAGGGGGCGAGCGUUGUCCGAAGUUACUGGGCGUAAAGCGCGCGUAGGCGGUUAUUUAAGUCUGGGGUGAAAGGUUCAGCGCU